This 559-nucleotide ribosomal RNA is filed under the name uncultured bacterium. RNAcentral's name for it is "bacterial SSU rRNA". It matches the Rfam family "Bacterial small subunit ribosomal RNA", at positions 119 to 674 of the family's 1533-position model. The record is from RNAcentral.
GGAUACAUUCCGGGAAGCGGGGGAUAGCCCAGGGAAACUUGGAUUAAUACCGCAUGUGAUCGAAAGAUCAAAGACGGGGACCGCAAGGCCUGUCACUUCCCGAUUGGUCCGCGGCCUAUCAGCUAGUUGGCGGGGUAAAAGCCCACCAAGGCGACGACGGGUAGCUGGUCUGAGAGGACGACCAGCCACACUGGAACUGAGACACGGUCCAGACACCUACGGGUGGCAGCAGUCGAGAAUCUUUCACAAUGGGGGCAACCCUGAUGGAGCGACGCCGCGUGGAGGAUAAGGUCUUCGGAUUGUAAACUCCUGUCAUGCGUGAACAAGGCAGCCGGGCUAAUAACUUGUGCUGAUUGAUGGUAACGCAAGAGGAAGAGACGGCUAACUCUGUGCCAGCAGCCGCGGUAAUACAGAGGUCUCAAGCGUUGUUCGGAAUCACUGGGCGUAAAGGGUGCGUAGGUGGCGUGGUAAGUCAGAUGUGAAAGCCCGGGGCUCAACCUCGGAAUUGCAUCCGAUACUGCCGUGCUUGAGUACUGGAGAGGUGACUAGAAUUCUAGGU